UACGUAGGGGGCAAGCGUUGUCCGGAAUCAUUGGGCGUAAAGCGCGUGUAGGCGGUUCGGUAAGUCGGCUGUGAAAGUCCAGGGCUCAACCCUGGGAUGCCGGUCGAUACUGCCGGACUAGAGUUCGGAAGAGGCGACUGGAAUUCCUGGUGUAGCGGUGAAAUGCGUAGAUAUUGGGAGGAACACCAGUGGCGAAGGCGGCUCGCUGGACCGGUUCUGACGCUGAGGCACGAAAGCGUGGGGAGCAAACAGG
This 253-nucleotide ribosomal RNA is filed under the name uncultured bacterium. Its description in RNAcentral is "partial 16S ribosomal RNA". It matches the Rfam family "Bacterial small subunit ribosomal RNA", at positions 524 to 776 of the family's 1533-position model. The record is from RNAcentral.